CUACGGGGGGCUGCAGUGAGGAAUAUUGCACAAUGGGGGGAACCCUGAUGCAGCAACGCCGCGUGGAGGAUGACGCAUUUCGGUGUGUAAACUCCUUUUAUAUGUCAAGAAAAUGACGGUAGCAUAUGAAUAAGCGCCGGCUAACUCCGUGCCAGCAGCCGCGGUAAUACGGAGGGCGCAAGCGUUACUCGGAAUCACUGGGCGUAAAGGACGCGUAGGCGGGUUGAAAAGUCAGGUGUGAAAGCCUACAGCUUAACUGUAGAACUGCACUUGAAACUCUCAAUCUAGAGUAUGGGAGGGGCAGACGGAAUUAGUGGUGUAGGGGUAAAAUCCGUAGAUAUCACUAGGAAUACCUAAAGCGAAGGCGAUCUGCUGGAACAUUACUGACGCUAAGGCGUGAAAGCGUGGGGAGCAAACAGGAUUAGAUACCCGAGUAGUC
RNAcentral lists this ribosomal RNA (439 nucleotides) under uncultured bacterium. Its description in RNAcentral is "partial 16S ribosomal RNA". It matches the Rfam family "Bacterial small subunit ribosomal RNA", at positions 339 to 795 of the family's 1533-position model. The record is from RNAcentral.